AGUGAACGCUGGCGGUAGGCCUAACACAUGCAAGUCGAACGGCAGCACAGUAAGAGCUUGCUCUUACGGGUGGCGAGUGGCGGACGGGUGAGGAAUACAUCGGAAUCUACUUUUUCGUGGGGGAUAACGUAGGGAAACUUACGCUAAUACCGCAUACGACCUACGGGUGAAAGCAGGGGAUCUUCGGACCUUGCGCGAUUGAAUGAGCCGAUGUCGGAUUAGCUAGUUGGCGGGGUAAAGGCCCACCAAGGCGACGAUCCGUAGCUGGUCUGAGAGGAUGAUCAGCCACACUGGAACUGAGACACGGUCCAGACUCCUACGGGAGGCAGCAGUGGGGAAUAUUGGACAAUGGGCGCAAGCCUGAUCCAGCCAUACCGCGUGGGUGAAGAAGGCCUUCGGGUUGUAAAGACCUUUUGUUGGGAAAGAAAAGCAGCAGGUUAAUACCACGCUGUUCUGACGGUACCCAAAGAAUAAGCACCGGCUAACUUCGUG
This 492-nucleotide ribosomal RNA is filed under the name uncultured bacterium. RNAcentral's name for it is "partial 16S ribosomal RNA". It matches the Rfam family "Bacterial small subunit ribosomal RNA", at positions 29 to 507 of the family's 1533-position model. The record is from RNAcentral.